Long non-coding RNA from Betta splendens (Siamese fighting fish), 792 nucleotides. RefSeq lists it as uncharacterized. The transcript has 3 exons. The record is from RefSeq and is a predicted model, not a curated record. Lineage: Eukaryota; Metazoa; Chordata; Actinopteri; Anabantiformes; Osphronemidae.
GAGCCUGUGGUUCCGGCCUUCGCCACUGGGGGGAGUCUUCCUCUGCUGAGCACCUGUGCCGGAACGCAGCGCCCGUUACACGGUAGCGCUGCUGAGGAACCGUGUGUCUAACAUGUCGUGUCUGUUAAUAUUAACAGAUCCACACCUGUUCUCAUUCAGAGGCUCUUUGGAUCGUCUGCGGGUUUCGCUCUACCAACUCAAGAUCCUCUGAGUAAAGCUGCCACCACCAAGAGUCACGUGCUGUAAGUCUGAAACUUUAUUGUGUUUGAGCGCUCAAAUGUAUUUCUGGAGUUGCAAGCCCAUGAUUUCUGUGCUGGUCCCGAGCUCAGAUAAAUAGAGGGGUUUCGUCUCUCAUGAGAAAGAAGAAGCAUUUAAUCUGAAAAGGGUUUACGCGUCUCUGUCGCCAAGAUUGAGUUUGUUGGAUUUCGUUGGAUUUUGCCAUGUGCCAGCUAAUGUGUGUAGCCAUGAUGAUGAUUUGCAGUCGCCAUCUUGUCUUUUGAGUAUUUCUCUUUUGAGAAAUAGAUGUUAGAAUUUUUAGUCUUCGGUCGGUUCUGAGCUCGAUGGAUUGGAACGUAUCACUCUGUCCAAAGACUACCCAUCAGACCCUGCUCUGUGGAUGCUUCCUGGUUCAUCACGUCACCUGCUUGGGUCCUCCGUGUACCUUCACCUACAUAUAACAUCUCCUAUCAUCACUGAGGCAUCUCCAGCAGCAACUGCCGGAUGCAACAUCUAUCUAAUGGAUAAAUUUAAAUGUGGAUAUAAUUAUUUUAAUAAAUAAAUACUUGAACUCAG